CCUACGGGCGGCAGCAGUGAGGAAUAUUGGUCAAUGGGCGCGAGCCUGAACCAGCCAAGUCGCGUGAGGGAAGACGGUCCUAUGGAUUGUAAACCUCUUUUGUCGGGGAGCAAAAGACGCCACGCGUGGCGUUCCGAGAGUACCCGAAGAAAAAGCAUCGGCUAACUCCGUGCCAGCAGCCGCGGUAAUACGGAGGAUGCGAGCGUUAUCCGGAUUUAUUGGGUUUAAAGGGUGCGCAGGCGGAAGAUCAAGUCAGCGGUAAAAUUGGGAGGCUCAACCUCUUCGAGCCGUUGAAACUGGGUGUCUUGAGUGAGUGAGAAGUAUGCGGAAUGCGUGGUGUAGCGGUGAAAUGCAUAGAUAUCACGCAGAACUCCGAUUGCGAAGGCAGCAUACCGGCGCUCAACUGACGCUCAUGCACGAAAGUGUGGGGAUCGAACAGGAUUAGAUACCCGAGUAGUC
This 459-nucleotide ribosomal RNA is filed under the name uncultured bacterium. RNAcentral's name for it is "partial 16S ribosomal RNA". It matches the Rfam family "Bacterial small subunit ribosomal RNA", at positions 338 to 795 of the family's 1533-position model. The record is from RNAcentral.